This 425-nucleotide ribosomal RNA is filed under the name uncultured bacterium. RNAcentral's name for it is "bacterial SSU rRNA". It matches the Rfam family "Bacterial small subunit ribosomal RNA", at positions 356 to 773 of the family's 1533-position model. The record is from RNAcentral.
GGGGAAUAUUGCACAAUGGGGGAAACCCUGAUGCAGCCAUGCCGCGUGUGUGAAGAAGGCCUUCGGGUUGUAAAGCACUUUCAGCGAGGAGGAAAGGUUGAUGCCUAAUACGCAUCAGCUGUGACGUUACUCGCAGAAGAAGCACCGGCUAACUCCGUGCCAGCAGCCGCGGUAAUACGGAGGGUGCAAGCGUUAAUCGGAAUUACUGGGCGUAAAGCGCACGCAGGCGGUUGGAUAAGUUAGAUGUGAAAGCCCCGGGCUCAACCUGGGAACUGCAUUUAAAACUGUCCAGCUAGAGUCUUGUAGAGGGGGGUAGAAUUCCAGGUGUAGCGGUGAAAUGCGUAGAGAUCUGGAGGAAUACCGGUGGCGAAGGCGGCCCCCUGGACAAAGACUGACGCUCAGGUGCGAAAGCGUGGGGAGCAAAC